AGGGUUUGAUCAUGGCUCAGGACGAACGCUGGCGGUGCGCCUUAUGCAUGCAAGUUGAGCGAAGCUUUUCAGUAGUUUACUACAGAAAAUGACUGAGCGGCGAACGGGUGAGUAACGCGUGAGCAAUCUACCUUAGUUACUGGGAUAGCCCGAGGAAACUCGGAUUAAUACCGGAUAUUCUUAUUUUUUCACAUGAAGUUUUAAGGAAAGGUCAGCCGAACUAAGAUGAGCUCGCGUUCUAUCAGCUAGUUGGUGGGGUAAAAGCCUACCAAGGCUACGACGGAUAGCUGGUCUGAGAGGACGAUCAGCCACACUGGGACUGAGACACGGCCCAGACUCCUACGGGAGGCUGCAGCAGGGAAUAUUGCGCAAUGAGCGAAAGCUUGACGCAGCGACACCGCGUGUGGGAUGACGGUUCUAGGAUUGUAAACCACUUUCAGGAGGGAAGAAAAUGACGGUACCUCCACAAGAAGACCCGGCCAACUACGUGCCAGCCGCCGCGGUAAUAC
Molecule: ribosomal RNA, 509 nt
Filed under: uncultured bacterium
Lineage: Bacteria
Description: bacterial SSU rRNA
Rfam family: Bacterial small subunit ribosomal RNA
Source: RNAcentral